This is a small nuclear RNA of Arvicola amphibius (Eurasian water vole), 108 nucleotides long. NCBI's taxonomy places the organism in Eukaryota, Metazoa, Chordata, Mammalia, Rodentia, Cricetidae. The record is from RefSeq and is a predicted model, not a curated record.
UAAAAAAAGAUCAUUCUAAGACAAGCUCACUUGGGAAGAUACAAAGAAGGUCAGCAUGGCCCCUGAACAAGGAUGACACACAAAUUUGUGGAAAAGAAAGCAACAAUU